UUUAUGGAGAGUUUGAUCCUGGCUCAGGAUGAACGCUGGCGGCGUGCCUAAUACAUGCAAGUCGAGCGAACGGACGAGAAGUUUGCUUCUCUGAUGUUAGCGGCGGACGGGUGAGUAACACGUGGAUAACCUACCUAUAAGACUGGGAUAACUUCGGGAAACCGGAGCUAAUACCGGAUAAUAUUUUGAACCGCAUG
This 197-nucleotide ribosomal RNA is filed under the name Staphylococcus aureus. Its description in RNAcentral is "partial 16S ribosomal RNA". It matches the Rfam family "Bacterial small subunit ribosomal RNA", at positions 1 to 192 of the family's 1533-position model. Lineage: Bacteria; Bacillati; Bacillota; Bacilli; Caryophanales; Staphylococcaceae. The record is from RNAcentral.